This 495-nucleotide ribosomal RNA is filed under the name uncultured bacterium. RNAcentral describes it as "partial 16S ribosomal RNA". It matches the Rfam family "Bacterial small subunit ribosomal RNA", at positions 29 to 507 of the family's 1533-position model. The record is from RNAcentral.
AUGAACGCUGGCGGCGUGCCUAAUACAUGCCAGUCGAGCGAACAGACGAGGAGCUUGCUCCUCUGACGUUAGCGGCGGACGGGUGAGUAACACGUGGAUAACCUACCUAUAAGACUGGGAUAACUUCGGGAAACCGGAGCUAAUACCGGAUAAUAUAUUGAACCGCAUGGUUCAAUAGUGAAAGACGGUUUUGCUGUCACUUAUAGAUGGAUCCGCGCCGCAUUAGCUAGUUGGUAAGGUAACGGCUUACCAAGGCAACGAUGCGUAGCCGACCUGAGAGGGUGAUCGGCCACACUGGAACUGGGAAACGGUCCAGACUCCUACGGGAGGCAGCAGUAGGGAAUCUUCCGCAAUGGGCGAAAGCUUGAGGAGCAACGCCGCGUGAGUGAUGAAGGUCUUCGGAUCGUAAAACUCUGUUAUUAGGGAAGAACAAAUGUGUAAGUAACUAUGCACGUCUUGACGGUACCUAAUCAGAAAGCCACGGCUAACUACGUG